Molecule: ribosomal RNA, 253 nt
Filed under: uncultured bacterium
Lineage: Bacteria
Description: partial 16S ribosomal RNA
Rfam family: Bacterial small subunit ribosomal RNA
Source: RNAcentral
UACGUAGGGUCCGAGCGUUGUCCGGAGUUACUGGGCGUAAAGCGCGCGCAGGCGGCGGCGUGGGUCCGGCGUGAAAGCCCCCGGCUCAACCGGGGAGGGUCGCCGGGGACCGCGCCGCUUGAGGGCGGCAGGGGCCGGUGGAAUGCCCGGUGUAGUGGUGAAAUGCGUAGAGAUCGGGCGGAACACCCGUGGCGAAGGCGGCCGGCUGGGCCGACCCUGACGCUGAGGCGCGAAGGCGUGGGGAGCGAACGGG